GAACGAGAAAGUGGAGCAAUCCAUGAGUACAGUGGCGUACGGGUGAGUAACACGUGACUAACCUACCCUCGAGUGGGGAAUAACUUCGGGAAACCGAGGCUAAUACCGCAUAAUGUCUACGGACCAAAUGCGCAAGCAGCUUGAGGAGGGGGUCGCGGCUGAUUAGCUUGUUGGCGGGGUAACGGCCCACCAAGGCAAUGAUCAGUAGCCGGCCUGAGAGGGCGCACGGCCACACUGGAACUGAAACACGGUCCAGACUCCUACGGGAGGCAGCAGUGGGGAAUUUUGCGCAAUGGGGGAAACCCUGACGCAGCAACGCCGCGUGGAGGAUGAAGCCCCUUGGGGUGUAAACUCCUUUCGAUCGGGACGAUUAUGACGGUACCGGAUGAAGAAGCACCGGCUAACUCUGUG
Molecule: ribosomal RNA, 411 nt
Filed under: uncultured bacterium
Lineage: Bacteria
Description: bacterial SSU rRNA
Rfam family: Bacterial small subunit ribosomal RNA
Source: RNAcentral